GACGAACGCUGGUCGGCGUGCUUAACACAUGCAAGUCGAACGGAAAGGCCCUGCUUUUGUGGGGUGCUCGAGUGGCGAACGGGUGAGUAACACGUGAGUAACCUGCCCUUGACUUUGGGAUAACUUCAGGAAACUGGGGCUAAUACCGGAUAGGAGCUCCUGCUGCAUGGUGGGGGUUGGAAAGUUUCGGCGGUUGGGGAUGGACUCGCGGCUUAUCAGCUUGUUGGUGGGGUAGUGGCUUACCAAGGCUUUGACGGGUAGCCGGCCUGAGAGGGUGACCGGCCACAUUGGGACUGAGAUACGGCCCAGACUCCUACGGGAGGCAGCAGUGGGGAAUAUUGCACAAUGGGCGGAAGCCUGAUGCAGCAACGCCGCGUGCGGGAUGACGGCCUUCGGGUUGUAAACCGCUUUCGCCUGUGACGAAGCGUGAGUGACGGUAAUGGGUAAAGAAGCACCGGCUAACUACGUGCCAGCAGCCGCGGUGAUACGUAGGGUGCGAGCGUUGUCCGGAUUUAUUGGGCGUAAAGGGCUCGUAGGUGGUUGAUCGCGUCGGAAGUGUAAUCUUGGGGCUUAACCCUGAGCGUGCUUUCGAUACGGGUUGACUUGAGGAAGGUAGGGGAGAAUGGAAUUCCUGGUGGAGCGGUGGAAUGCGCAGAUAUCAGGAGGAACACCAGUGGCGAAGGCGGUUCUCUGGGCCUUUCCUGACGCUGAGGAGCGAAAGCGUGGGGAGCGAACAGGCUUAGAUACCCUGGUAGUCCACGCUGUAAACGGUGGGUACUAGGUGUGGGGUCCAUUCCACGGGUUCCGUGCCGUAGCUAACGCUUUAAGUACCCCGCCUGGGGAGUACGGCCGCAAGGCUAAAACUCAAAGGAAUUGACGGGGCCCCGCACAAGCGGCGGAGCAUGCGGAUUAAUUCGAUGCAACGCGUAGAACCUUACCUGGGUUUGACAUGGAUCGGGAGUGCUCAGAGAUGGGUGUGCCUCUUUUGGGGUCGGUUCACAGGUGGUGCAUGCCUGUCGUCAGCUCGUGUCGUGAGAUGUUGGGUUAAGUCCCGCAACGAGCGCAACCCUUGUUCACUGUUGCCAGCACGUUAUGGUGGGGACUCAGUGGAGACCGCCGGGGUCAACUCGGAGGAAGGUGGGGAUGACGUCAAGUCCUCAUGCCCCUUAUGUCCAGGGCUUCACGCAUGCUACAAUGGCUGGUACAGAGAGUGGCGAGCCUGUGAGGGUGAGCGAAUCUCGGAAAGCCGGUCUCAGUUCGGAUUGGGGUCUGCAACUCGACCUCAUGAAGUCGGAGUCGCUAGUAAUCGCAGAUCAGCAACGCUGCGGUGAAUACGUUCCCGGG
RNAcentral lists this ribosomal RNA (1344 nucleotides) under uncultured bacterium. RNAcentral describes it as "16S ribosomal RNA". It matches the Rfam family "Bacterial small subunit ribosomal RNA", at positions 28 to 1378 of the family's 1533-position model. The record is from RNAcentral.